UUGCCUAUACAUGCAGUCGACGCGUUGGCCCAAUUGAUUGAUGGUGCUUGCACCUGAUUGAUUUUGGUCGCCAACGAGUGGCGGACGGGUGAGUAACACGUAGGUAACCUGCCCAGAAGCGGGGGACAACAUUUGGAAACAGAUGCUAAUACCGCAUAACAGCGUUGUUCGCAUGAACAACGCUUAAAAGAUGGCUUCUCGCUAUCACUUCUGGAUGGACCUGCGGUGCAUUAGCUUGUUGGUGGGGUAACGGCCUACCAAGGCGAUGAUGCAUAGCCGAGUUGAGAGACUGAUCGGCCACAAUGGGACUGAGACACGGCCCAUACUCCUACGGGAGGCAGCAGUAGGGAAUCUUCCACAAUGGGCGCAAGCCUGAUGGAGCAACACCGCGUGAGUGAAGAAGGGUUUCGGCUCGUAAAGCUCUGUUGUUAAAGAAGAACACGUAUGAGAGUAACUGUUCAUACGUUGACGGUAUUUAACCAGAAAGUCACGGCUAACUACGUGCCAGCAGCCGCGGUAAUACGUAGGUGGCAAGCGUUAUCCGGAUUUAUUGGGCGUAAAGAGAGUGCAGGCGGUUUUCUAAGUCUGAUGUGAAAGCCUUCGGCUUAACCGGAGAAGUGCAUCGGAAACUGGAUAACUUGAGUGCAGAAGAGGGUAGUGGAACUCCAUGUGUAGCGGUGGAAUGCGUAGAUAUAUGGAAGAACACCAGUGGCGAAGGCGGCUACCUGGUCUGCAACUGACGCUGAGACUCGAAAGCAUGGGUAGCGAACAGGAUUAGAUACCCUGGUAGUCCAUGCCGUAAACGAUGAGUGCUAGGUGUUGGAGGGUUUCCGCCCUUCAGUGCCGGAGCUAACGCAUUAAGCACUCCGCCUGGGGAGUACGACCGCAAGGUUGAAACUCAAAGGAAUUGACGGGGGCCCGCACAAGCGGUGGAGCAUGUGGUUUAAUUCGAAGCUACGCGAAGAACCUUACCAGGUCUUGACAUCUUGCGCCAACCCUAGAGAUAGGGCGUUUCCUUCGGGAACGCAAUGACAGGUGGUGCAUGGUCGUCGUCAGCUCGUGUCGUGAGAUGUUGGGUUAAGUCCCGCAACGAGCGCAACCCUUGUUACUAGUUGCCAGCAUUAAGUUGGGCACUCUAGUGAGACUGCCGGUGACAAACCGGAGGAAGGUGGGGACGACGUCAGAUCAUCAUGCCCCUUAUGACCUGGGCUACACACGUGCUACAAUGGACGGUACAACGAGUCGCGAACUCGCGAGGGCAAGCAAAUCUCUUAAAACCGUUCUCAGUUCGGACUGCAGGCUGCAACUCGCCUGCACGAAGUCGGAAUCGCUAGUAAUCGCGGAUCAGCAUGCCGCGGUGAAUACGUUCCCGGGCCUUGUACACACCGCCCGUCACACCAUGAGAGUUUGUAACACCCAAAGUCGGUGGGGUAACCUUUUAUGAGCCAGCCGCCCAAAGUUAAACG
RNAcentral lists this ribosomal RNA (1466 nucleotides) under Limosilactobacillus fermentum. RNAcentral describes it as "bacterial SSU rRNA". It matches the Rfam family "Bacterial small subunit ribosomal RNA". Lineage: Bacteria; Bacillati; Bacillota; Bacilli; Lactobacillales; Lactobacillaceae. The record is from RNAcentral.